Molecule: ribosomal RNA, 440 nt
Filed under: uncultured bacterium
Lineage: Bacteria
Description: partial 16S ribosomal RNA
Rfam family: Bacterial small subunit ribosomal RNA
Source: RNAcentral
CCUACGGGUGGCAGCAGUGGGGAAUAUUGCACAAUGGGGGAAACCCUGAUGCAGCGACGCCGCGUGAGUGAAGAAGCGCCUCGGCGCGUAAAGCUCUGUCAGCAGGAACGAUAAUGACGGUACCUGAAGAAGAAGCCCCGGCUAACUACGUGCCAGCAGCCGCGGUAAUACGUAGGGGGCAAGCGUUAUCCGGAAUGACUGGGCGUAAAGGGUGCGUAGGUGGUUUGACAAGUUAGUAGCGCAACUCCGGAGCUCAACUUCGGAACUACUACUAAAACUGUUGGACUUGAGUGCAGGAGGGGCAAUCGGAAUUCCUAGUGUAGCGGUGGAAUGCGUAGAUAGUAGGAGGAACACCAGUGGCGAAGGCGGAUUGCUAGACUGUAACUGACACUGAGGCACGAAAGCGUGGGUAUCGAACAGGAUUAGAUACCCUAGUAGUC